UGUCUGUUCACUACGCAUAUCAGCCAGGAAAUCAAACGAUUAUAUGUACACUGGAGAUUCCUGGCCAGUUAGUAGCCUAAACAUCGACGUGGGCAUCGUCUUCAUUAAUAUCUGAAACAAAAUGUAAAUAGUUCCUUCAACUUCACCUCCUAUUUCCAAAUUAACACUUUGUCUAGCCUGAGGUGCUGGUGGUGGAGGCGUGCCAAGAGGAUCCAAACUAUCAAGCUGAAGCUCAUUUGUAUCAUAUGAAUUUUCUUUUUUAGAAACAAAUAAAUCAGGUGAUGAAGUUUUUAAAGAAUGUAAAAUAUCUUUACUAACAGUUAAGCUAGAAAGAUCUUUUCCAACUGAAUCAUUUUCUGUCGUAACUGAAUAAGUAGUAUCAUUGACACGACUACGUUGAAUAAUUUCUUUUUCAAUUUCAUUAAUUUGCCGCUUCAUCAACAUCACAGUUGGAUUAUUAUUAUCAGUAUCACUAGCAUGUCCACUAGAUAAGCCAUCUUCAAGAACUGGCAUACUAGCAUAUAUUCUCAAUGAAUCUGAAUUAUUUCCUAAAUCACCCACUGAUCCAAGAAGACCACUAGCUGGUAUCAACUCAUUAUCCAUCAUCAUUAAAGAAACUUCACUAUCAAGAUCUCCACAAUUACUAUCGCAAUCAGUUGUUUCAGGACUCAAUGUAAAAUUGCGAGAGUGCCCAACUUGUAGUCCAACCUCUGUUUCUCCGAGAUCUUCACUACUACCAGUGCCUACUGAGAGGUCUAAGAAAUUAUUUUCAUGUUCAGCAAUCUAAAAAAAUGCAAAAUCAAAAUUUGAAAAAUAAUUUUAUGCUAAAUAAAAUAUUUUAUUUCUUUCUUAUGAAUAAUUUUCAAAUUCAACAAAAUUUAAUUUUAAAUAAUAAUUAGCUUAUACAAAAAAUUAUAUAAAUAAUAUAUUUAUUGCUUAGACUUUAGAAAUUAUUUAUUUUUUACAUAAAUAUCCUUACAUUUUGGGGAAAAUCUGAUCUUUGUUUUUUAGGAGAUUCAUGUACUAAAACUUCUUCUAUUGUUGGAGGACCAGUAGCCAAUCGUUGACCAACAUAAGCGCUUCCUCCUUGUCUUCGUAAUUCGUAAUCUAGAUCCUUAAAUAAUAGAUAAUAAAAUCAAUUUUAAAUAAAAUAAAAUCAUAAAAUAUUUUUUAGUAAAGAUUAUUAAUUAACGUUAUAGAAUUAAAUUAUUUGCUGCAAUAUUAAAAAAAAUUAAAAUAAAGCAUUAACAUCAUUAACAAUAUAUCACAAAUUUAAUAAAUUAAUAAACAUACAAUACUCUUUUUAAAUUAAACCAGUCAAAACUACAAAGAUAUAUUAAUAGUAUUUCUAUUAAAAAUCCACAAGUAAUUCAAAGGAAAUGUUUCAGUCUUUCUAAUUGAGAUUUUUUUGAAUUUCCAUCAAUUUUUUAUCUUUUAUCAAAGCAUUAUUUUAUCUUUAAUUUGUUAGCUAUGUAUGAUGAAUAUAUUUAUCAUAAAAAAAAACCGAUUUUUUAUUAUGUAAUAUAUAUUAUUAUCUUUUCAUUUUUGCAACAAUUUAAAUAAACAUUUUUAAAAUAAACUUUAAAAUAAAAUUUUUUAAUAUAGCUAGUAGGUAAAAAUUCUUUCAUAUCUAUUCUUUCAUAGCUCUAUAAACUUGUUUUCAAAUUUCAUAAUCACACAAAAUAUUAUAGAUACAUUCAAACAAAAAUGAAGAAAAAAUCUAAUUUAUGAAUUAUAUUGUAUUUUGUAUUAUUAUAAUAACAAUAAAAUAAAUUUUUAUACCUGAAA
Molecule: long non-coding RNA, 1788 nt
Organism: Apis cerana (Asiatic honeybee)
Lineage: Eukaryota; Metazoa; Arthropoda; Insecta; Hymenoptera; Apidae
Source: RefSeq, a predicted model, not a curated record